This 73-nucleotide transfer RNA is filed under the name Koshicola spirodelophila. RNAcentral's name for it is "tRNA-Gly". It matches the Rfam family "tRNA". Rfam says of the family: Transfer RNA (tRNA) molecules are approximately 80 nucleotides in length. Their secondary structure includes four short double-helical elements and three loops (D, anti-codon, and T loops). Further hydrogen bonds mediate the characteristic L-shaped molecular structure. tRNAs have two regions of fundamental functional importance: the anti-codon, which is responsible for specific mRNA codon recognition, and the 3' end, to which the tRNAs corresponding amino acid is attached (by aminoacyl-tRNA synthetases). tRNAs cope with the degeneracy of the genetic code in two manners: having more than one tRNA (with a specific anti-codon) for a particular amino acid; and 'wobble' base-pairing, i.e. permitting non-standard base-pairing at the 3rd anti-codon position. The record is from RNAcentral. Lineage: Eukaryota; Viridiplantae; Chlorophyta; Chlorophyceae; Chaetopeltidales; Chaetopeltidaceae.
GCGGAUGUAGCUCAGUUGGCAGAGUAGAGUCCUUCCAAGUCUAUGGUCGCGCGUUCGAAUCGCGUCAUCCGCU